UGGCGGCCUCGGGUCCAUCCCGAGGCCACGCCCGUCUGAGGGUCGGCGAGUCAGAUAAGCUAUCGUCUCCUUUCGUGGCUACAGGAUUCCGCACAGAAGGCGUCCGCUUCUUUCGAAAAUUUCUUGCUCUGAAAUGACGAUGGGAUGGGUUGCUACAAUGUGUUUGGGGACCGUGGAGGCGCUUUGGGUUUUCGCGGAUCUUUUGUGAUCUCCGUUACUUUAAGUGCAUGCUGCGCCGUCCGUCAUCUCGUGACGUCUCGGUGCCCGGAACAGCUCUUUUUUGUUUUCCGGGCACUAGAGACAGCGCGAGAGAAGUUUUAUUUCUCUCCUAACCGACGCCGCCGGCCGUCGUGCUGGACUCGGAUUGAUCGGAUAUCAUCGAGCCGCCGGCGUGCUGGAAGCUGCGUGGGAGAAAUGAAGCUCAUGGCGGCGCCCAGUUAAAAACAAAACAAGUGCGUUUGUUCGUAUAGCGCUGCUUACUUUUGUUUCACAUAUCCGACCUCAGAUCGGACGAGAUUACCCGCUGAAUUUAAGCAUAUUACUAAGCGGAGGAAAAGAAACUAACAAGGAUUCCCUCAGUAACGGCGAGUGAAGCGGGAAUAGCCCAGCACCGAAUCCCUCAGUGUCAUGCUGACGGGAACUGUGGUGUGUGGGACGCCACCAGUCGCAUCAGAGGGCGCCGAAGUCCUCCUGAUCGGGGCUUCACCCAGAGCGGGUGUAAGGCCUUUGCGGGUGCCUCUCUGUGCGGCCGCGAGCGUCUCAGGAGUCGGGUUGUUUGGGAAUGCAGCCCAAAGCGGGUGGUAAACUCCAUCUAAGGCUAAAUACUGGCACGAGUCCGAUAGCGGA
Molecule: ribosomal RNA, 846 nt
Filed under: Cornu aspersum (brown garden snail)
Lineage: Eukaryota; Metazoa; Mollusca; Gastropoda; Stylommatophora; Helicidae
Description: eukaryotic LSU rRNA
Rfam family: Eukaryotic large subunit ribosomal RNA (bases 497-846)
Source: RNAcentral